GGAUGAACGUUGGCGGCGUGCCUAAUACAUGCAAGUCGAACGAAGACUGUAGUAAUACUGUCUUAGUGGCGAACGGGUGAGUAACGCGUGGGUGACCUGCCCCGAAGUGUGGGAUAACAGUCCGAAAGGAUUGCUAAUACUGCAUAAUAUCCAAGAGAUUAGAUGCUUUUGGAUUAAAGGAGUAAUUCGCUUCGGGAGGGGCCCGCGUCCCAUCAGCUAGUUGGUAAGGUAAUGGCUUACCAAGGCGAUGACGGGUAGGGGACCUGAGAGGGUGGCCCCCCACAAUGGAACUGAAACACGGUCCAUACACCUACGGGUGGCAGCAGUAGGGAAUAUUAGUAAUGGGCGAAAGCCUGAACUAGCAACGCCGCGUGUGCGAAGAAGGCCUUCGGGUCGUAAAGCACUUUUUGAGAGGAUGAGGAAGGACGGUACUCUCAGAAUAAGUCUCGGCUAACUACGUGCCAGCAGCCGCGGUAACACGUAGGAGGCAAACGUUAUCCGGAUUUACUGGGCGUAAAGCGCGUGUAGGUGGUUUGGUAAGUAGGGCGUGAAAGCUCCUGGCUCAACUGGGAGAGGACGUUCUAAACUGCCAAGCUUGAGGAUGGUAGAGGGAGGUGGAAUUCCGGGUGUAGCGGUGGAAUGCGCAGAUAUCCGGAGGAACACCAGUGGCGAAGGCGGCCUCCUGGACCACUCCUGACACUCAGACGCGAAAGCUAGGGUAGCAAACGGGAUUAGAGACCCCGGUAGUCCUAGCCCUAAACGAUGUAGACUUGGCGUCGGUGGUUUAAUCGCCAUCGGUGUCGUAGCUAACGCGAUAAGUCUACCGCCUGGGGACUACGGCCGCAAGGUUAAAACUCAAAGGAAUUGACGGGUCCCCGCACAAGCAGCGGAGCGUGUGGUUUAAUUCGAUGCUACACGAAGAACCUUACCUGGGUUUGACAUCAUACCGACGUCUGUAGAAACACAGAUUUCCGCUUAGGCGGACGGUAUGACAGGUGUUGCAUGGUUGUCGUCAGCUCGUGUCGUGAGAUGUUGGGUUAAGUCCCGCAACGAGCGCAACCCCUAUCCAAUGUUGCCAACAGGUAAAGCUGGGGACUCAUUGGAGACUGCCGGAGACGAUCUGGAGGAAGGUGGGGAUGAGGUCAAAUCAUCAUGGCCCUUAAGCCCUGGGCUACACACGCGCUACAAUGGCCGGUACAACGGGCAGCGAAGGAGCGAUCCGGAGCGAAUCCCAAAAAGCCGGCCCCAGUUGGAAUCGCAGGCUGCAACUCGCCUGCGUGAACAUGGAAUUGCUAGUAAUCGCGAAUCAGCUACGUCGCGGUGAAUACGUUCCCGGGCCU
This 1340-nucleotide ribosomal RNA is filed under the name uncultured bacterium. Its description in RNAcentral is "bacterial SSU rRNA". It matches the Rfam family "Bacterial small subunit ribosomal RNA", at positions 27 to 1381 of the family's 1533-position model. The record is from RNAcentral.